Molecule: ribosomal RNA, 459 nt
Filed under: uncultured bacterium
Lineage: Bacteria
Description: partial 16S ribosomal RNA
Rfam family: Bacterial small subunit ribosomal RNA
Source: RNAcentral
CCUACGGGUGGCUGCAGUGAGGAAUAUUGGUCAAUGGGCGCGAGCCUGAACCAGCCAAGUCGCGUGAGGGAAGACGGUCCUAUGGAUUGUAAACUUCUUUUGUCGAGGAGCAAAAGACGCCACGCGUGGCGUUCCGAGAGUACUUGAAGAAAAAGCAUCGGCUAACUCCGUGCCAGCAGCCGCGGUAAUACGGAGGAUGCGAGCGUUAUCCGGAUUUAUUGGGUUUAAAGGGUGCGCAGGCGGAAGAUCAAGUCAGCGGUAAAAGUGAGAGGCUCAACCUCUUAUAGCAGUUGAAACUGGUUGUCUUGAGUGAGCGAGAAGUAGGCGGAAUGCGUGGUGUAGCGGUGAAAUGCAUAGAUAUCACGCAGAACUCCGAGUGCGAAGGCAGCAUACCGGCGCUCAACUGACGCUGAUGCACGAAAGUGUGGGUAUCGAACAGGAUUAGAUACCCGGGUAGUC